UACGUAGGGGGCAAGCGUUGUCCGGAAUCAUUGGGCGUAAAGAGCGUGUAGGCGGCUCGGUAAGUCCGUUGUGAAAGUCCAGGGCUCAACCCUGGAAUGCCGGUGGAAACUGUCGGGCUAGAGUCCGGAAGAGGCGAGUGGAAUUCCUAGUGUAGCGGUGGAAUGCGCAGAUAUCAGGAGGAACACCAAUAGCGAAGGCAGCUCGCUGGGACGGUACUGACGCUAAGGCGCGAAAGCGUGGGGAGCGAACAGG
Molecule: ribosomal RNA, 253 nt
Filed under: uncultured bacterium
Lineage: Bacteria
Description: partial 16S ribosomal RNA
Rfam family: Bacterial small subunit ribosomal RNA
Source: RNAcentral